GCCUCUGUAGCUCAGUUGGUUAGAGCACUGCACUGGAAUCGCAGGACACAGGUUCAAUUCCUGCCAGAUGGCC
Molecule: transfer RNA, 73 nt
Filed under: Paramuricea clavata
Lineage: Eukaryota; Metazoa; Cnidaria; Anthozoa; Malacalcyonacea; Plexauridae
Description: tRNA-Ser
Rfam family: tRNA
About the family: Transfer RNA (tRNA) molecules are approximately 80 nucleotides in length. Their secondary structure includes four short double-helical elements and three loops (D, anti-codon, and T loops).
Source: RNAcentral